GACGAACGCUGGCGGCGCGCCUAACACAUGCCAGUCGAACGAGCGAGAGAGAGCUUGCUUUCUUGAGCGAGUGGCGAACGGGUGAGUAACGCGUGAGGAACCUGCCUCACAGAGGGCGACAACAGUUGGAAACGACUGCUAAUACCGCAUAAGCCCACGGUGCCGCAUGGCCCUGACGGAAAAGUAGCAAUCCGCUUUGAGAUGGCCUCGCGUCCGAUUAGCUAGUUGGUGAGGUAACGGCCCACCAAGGCGACGGUCGGUAGCCGGACUGAGAGGUUGAGCGGCGACAUUGGGACUGAGACACGGCCCAGGCUGCGACGGGAGGCAGCAGUGGGGAAUAAUGCACAAGGGAGGAAACGCUGAUGCAGCGGCGCCGCGUGGAGGAAGAAGGUCUUCGGAUUGGAGACUCCUGUUGUUGGGGAAGAUAAUGACGGUACCGAACAAGGAAGUGACGGCUAACUACGUG
RNAcentral lists this ribosomal RNA (466 nucleotides) under uncultured bacterium. Its description in RNAcentral is "partial 16S ribosomal RNA". It matches the Rfam family "Bacterial small subunit ribosomal RNA", at positions 28 to 507 of the family's 1533-position model. The record is from RNAcentral.